RNAcentral lists this unclassified non-coding RNA (329 nucleotides) under Hevea brasiliensis (rubber tree). Lineage: Eukaryota; Viridiplantae; Streptophyta; Magnoliopsida; Malpighiales; Euphorbiaceae. The record is from RNAcentral.
UUCUCUUAAGACCUUGUAUUUUGUAGCGAACAAAGACUUGUAUUAAAAAAAUGACAAAUAUUUUGGAAAAAAAAUAUUACAUUUGUUAUUCACACCAAUCCACAGAUUUUAUGAAUUUUGGAAACCUUCCCGCACGGGUAGGAGAGCUUUGAAUUAGAAUGAGAGGUCCACUACUUGUAUUAGCUGACCAAUUGAGACUUCAGAGGAUGAUAGCAAGUCUGGAGUUAUGCUCACAAGCAAAAUUUGGGGUCAUUUAACUCGAUAUGCACCUUUGUCCAAACACACCAGACAUACCCUUCCAUGUAAAAUUAAAGCUUUUACAUUUCUAA